AGCUUUGUGCAGUGGCAAUACCAUAGUCAAUGAGGUUUAUCUGAGGUAUGAUUAUUGCUAAUUGAAAACUCUUCCCAAUACCCCACCUUCACAACUUGAAAUAUUCAAAAACACAGAAGAGC
RNAcentral lists this small nuclear RNA (122 nucleotides) under Dasypus novemcinctus (nine-banded armadillo). RNAcentral's name for it is "U4 spliceosomal RNA (ENSDNOG00000028185.1)". It matches the Rfam family "U4 spliceosomal RNA". Rfam says of the family: U4 small nuclear RNA (U4 snRNA) is a component of the major U2-dependent spliceosome. The structure of U4 snRNA from yeast and human has been reported. The record is from RNAcentral. Lineage: Eukaryota; Metazoa; Chordata; Mammalia; Cingulata; Dasypodidae.